Long non-coding RNA from Hippoglossus stenolepis (Pacific halibut), 3648 nucleotides. RefSeq lists it as uncharacterized. The transcript has 3 exons. The record is from RefSeq and is a predicted model, not a curated record. Lineage: Eukaryota; Metazoa; Chordata; Actinopteri; Pleuronectiformes; Pleuronectidae.
UUACACUAUAAUUUCAUCGUGCCAAUCUGCAUUUUACAAGAAUUAAGGUUAUGUGUAAGAGAAACAAAUCUUAGAUCACGAGAAAAAAGUGUCAGUGUCAGAAUAAAGUUGUAAUUGAGAAGAAACUGAUUGAUUAUACAAAGAUAAUGUGGCAAUAUAACGAGAAUAAUAUAUAUUACUAAUAAUAUUACAACAAAAAAGGAUAGAGUCAUAAUCUAAUGAAAAUAAAUUCAUAAUAUUGUGAGAAUAAAGUCGUAAUAUUGUGAGAAUAGUUUUAAUUCCAAAGUCCGACACAAAGUCCAGAAAACUUCCAACUUUAAUGGACUUUAAUGAAAUGGACGAGACUCUUUUCAUACGUACGAGCAGCAGAAAUGAUUCUUAAUAGAGUUGUAAAGGCUCAUUUAUACUCAAUGUAAAAAUAUGUUGACAUAUAAAGGGGUCUUUAAAAGACGCCCCCUGCUGGAGAAUGUGAUGACCCCACUUGAUGUUAAGUGCAUCAAAUCAUUUCAGGGUUUUUAUAACUCCAGACUUAUCCUCGGAGUCUUCCCAUCAUUUCUAUCACUUAGCAACCAAAGUCAUUGCUGAGGUCUCAGCUGCAUUGUUCAGAGGUGGAGGUCGGGAAAUGCUGACAGCAGCAGAGAAUCUACGAAGAUCAGACUCUUUUCAUGCACGUAGGACAUUACACAGCACGGUGAGGCAGCGGCAGCGGCAGCAGCAGCAGCGGCAGCGGCAGCAGCAGAGUCACCUCCAGGUGCAUGAUGUGCACACGUCGGCAACAAAACAAUGAGCAGAGCAACGACAGCUUCAGGGCAGAAAAUCUGUCAUCAACACUUUAUCUGUCAGAAUCUCUCCUUUGUAAUGACGUUAUUUUUCCUCCUCUUUCUCAAUCUCCUUCCCCUCCGUCGACCUCCUCCCUCGCUCCCUCGCUCCCUCGCUCCCUCCUGCUGUGGCCGUGUUAUUAAAUGGCUGAGUGUGACCUUUCUGAGGAGAACAGACCAAACAACAUGCACCUCUCUUCCUCCUGCUGCCAGGAGGACUGCACCUCCUCCGUGUUAGUGGAUGGGACAUGGACCAAACUAAAAAGAUGUUGUGUAACUUUAGGUCGUUACUGAUUUUACAGAUUAUUUGUACAAGCACUACUUUAAAGUAGCCACUCGGCAGGUAAGAGAAUAAAAGUCUUAUUUCCCAGGAGGCUUUGUGUCUCUGCUGUGAAAUCUCUGCUCGCCUAACUCUCUCCACUUCUUUUAUUUUGACAGCUCUUUUUAUAAAUCCUCCUCCCAACACUCGUCUCUUCUCUCUUCCAGCGUCUCGUCCCCGUUCUCUUCCACCGCUGCUCUGUCGCUUCACUUCUUCCUCUCUCAGCGGGUUUUUCACACCAUCCUCAUCCUCCACCUCUGUCCUCAUCCCUCUCUUUCUCACCGUCUCUGUUCACGCUGACGUGCUUAUGUAAGGCAGCUGGUUGUGAAAUCAAUUACCAAUGCAUUAUCCAGCUAUAUUUGGCCUCGUGACGCCAGAGCCGCCGGUGGAAAGAUACCAGCGCUGUCCUCGUCUGACUUUAUGCUUUAUCAGUAGCUGUGGUGAGGUCUUUGUUCCUAAAUAACAGAUGUUGAUAUGUGUCUGUUCUUCUAAUGGAUUCAGUCUGUUGAUCAUUUGGUCUUUUCUACACUUUGAACGUCUCAACCCUGACUUUUCAUCUUGUGAUUAGAUUUGGUGAAAGCAUCAACGCUCCCCAGACGACGACUCUGUUGUCUCAGAAGUUUCUAUUUCAAAAAACUCCUCUCAGGUGUCAGUAGAAUUUGCUGUUGUCGUGAAAGUCAUAAAAUAAUCAUAAAAUAAUCCUGCUGAUAAACAAACAGGGGUGAAACCUCCUCGUUGGAGGUUCGACCUAUAAUCAUCUUCUUUAAAGUUCUAGUUCGGUUCAUAUUCCAUCUGCUAACAUGGAGGAGGCAGGGUUUAUGACCGCUACUACAGCCAGCCACCAGGGGGCGAUCGGGACACUUUGGCUUAACUCUUUGGAGCUGUCAUGUCGUCCAUCUUUAUUAAAAGUCUUUGAUCGAGUCCUCAGAACUAAACGACCUGUGAAUGUGAAUCGUCCCAGGAGCACGUGCACCAGACCCUUGUUGCCAUGGUAACAGUUAUAAAAACGCUAUCGGUGGGGAAGAUGGUCUCAGGCUGGUUCGUACUGCAGACAGCCUCCAGGGGGCGAUGGAGACACAUUGGUUUUAUGGAGCUGUGGUGUCGUCCAUCUUUUUACACAGUCACAGUUUCUAACGUCCACACAUCGUGGAUCCUUCCUGCUCGGCUGCCGUCGCCCAUCAGCCACUGAGCUGCAGGCCCGAGGUCACGUGGUCAUCACAGUCGCUCGCCGCCGCGGACGACACAACUUCAAAGCUUCUCUUUAUCCCUCAACCAACUGUGGCCCGGCAGCUGAAGAGUCAGUGGGACAAAACGAACGGUGUGAUGUCUGAAUCAAAAAGGACGAGACAUCUCAUUCAGCAUCGUGCUCAGAUGAGAACGUAUCAGAUAAAGAACGUCUUCUUUAUCUGAGCGACUAAUCGGACGAGUGCGAGGUCAUCGUGACCGACAGGAGCCGGUGUUUCAGCUCUUUAAGAGGACGCCGGGACAGCGGGGCGGCUCCGAGAGAAACUUCCUGUCAGAGCAGAAAUCAAUUACAGAGCCACGUGGAUGAUCUAAUGUGCGUCCACUGAAUCGAUACUUGGAAAGUGGGACGGCUCCGAGAGACGGACGCCGAGAGACGACAGGACGACCGAGGGUCAGAGACAGAAAGAGAGAGAACUGCGAACGAGAAACAAAUAACAAAAGCACUGAAGCUGAAACACUGGAUUUACUUCUUCUUCAUUGUUUCUAUAAUUUUCCACUACUAUCGAAAGAGUGUAAAAUGUUAUUACAUUAUGUGAAAAGGUCCCGUAACAAUCUGUUCCAGUGUUCUCUGAUUAUCUGAUAUUUAUAUUUAGCUGCAGGUGAAAAUUGUAUGCAGUGAAAUAUCUUUACACCUUAAAGAUUAAAAUUUCUGAUGACAACAAUUUCUUUAUAUCAAUAUGAACAUGUGAUGUUAUUCUAAAUGUUUGUUUACAUGUGUAUACAGCCUGGUGAACUACUUAUAAGUCACUAAUUAAUUAAUUUAAAUAAAAUGAAAGAAAAGGUAAUUUGACUGUUUUUAUAGUUAAAUCAAACAUUAUUUUACAAGUAACACCUGUACAUAUUAAUUUAAUAGAGUUUUGGUUGUACUUGUACUGUACAUUAUGAUAAAAGAUAUUCUGUUCUAUUCUAUUCUGGACUACCGUGUCUCUUCUGUCUGUGUCAGGUCACCGUGAACCAAACACACAGCUGUUACAUCGCUGACAUGUCGAGACAAGGAAACCAGAUUCUCUCCAAACAGACGAACGAGCAGAGAAAGAAGCAGCGUGAAAAAGAACCAGAGUCAUCAGAGCUGGAAACAUGAAGCUGAGGAGGAGGAGUUAGGACAUGAUGCUCGUAGACAAAGUUAAUCCUCCUCAUUCACGUCUGUGUCCAACAAUCGAGCUGAUGACUGAGAAUCUGAAAACUCGUUCAGGAGGAGAAUCUGUGAAGGAGCUUCACUGCUGCUGUGAGAACCAGACAAAGUUUAUCUUGAUGGUUCUCAGCAGA